UAUUGUCUCAGCAUGUAUUUAAUAGUUCACUUAGUCAUACAGCAAAACCUCUGAUGGCAGAAUUCCUGUGCUACAGCUCUGCCUCAGUCCUGUGCCUGUAUCACUGAACAAUACAUUUUCUCUCAGCCUAAGAGUGUAAAUCCACAUCUCUGAAAGUAGAAACUACACCAGUCUAAAUUAUACAUGACCUCAUUUUUAAAACAUAAAUGCAUCUGCCUUCAAUCUCCCAAACAAUGCCAGCUUUCAUUGCUUAUUAGCCCAGAUCUCCCACAAACACCCCUGGCACUGUUACAUCACUGCUUAGCCAAGGGAAAAACACCUCAGAGUAUUUCCACUGAGCUAUGACUGCUGUCUCAAGGAGUGCUGAGCUGAGCUGCACCCAUGGGGAAGCAGGACUGAUGCAAAGAGGCACAGAGCACUCCCUCUUCCUGCAGGGAACCCACUUCUUCCUGGCACAGAGAGCAGCACUGGAACCCGGGUUUCACAAAACACAGAAACACACAGGUUUGUGUUUUUACUGAAGCUGCUUUCUUUACUUUAAAGAACUGGAAAACACCAUUCCUUGUGAAGUGUACUAUUAACCACAUACUAUUUCAGUGAGGAAAAUUCAUCUACCAACCUCAAAGCCUAUGAGCUACCACUUUGGAAACAGUUGUAUCUUCAGUAAUAAAAUAUAACAGAUACUAAUAUUAUAUGUAAUUAAAAGGCAUUCUAUCAGAAUAGUUGUAACAACUUUUACCUCCUUAGAAAGUAAAGCAAAAAGCCAUCAUUGUCAGUGGUGUCCUCAAAUCCAAGAAAUGUUCAUUCACAUAUUUGUCUGUGUGCUGCUGUUUUCAUAGCACUUUUUGGCAGAGAGCCACUAAAGAGUGGACUUUGAGGUACUGGUGAACUUUCAGCUAACUGCAGAGAACUGGGCUUCUCACACAGUUUGGACUGAAAUUCCUCUUUACUUCUGCAUCCAAACUCCAUGAUGCAAUGACUUGCACCUCAGGAUCUGCUGCUCUAAAUGUACUGUUUAAACAUAACAACUACAGUAGUUUACCUCUACACUUUACUGCAGCGCAUGCACUAUGUCCAGUUUCAAAAUGUUUCAGAAAAAAGUCAAUCCAGACAAACCAUAAUUUCCUGAAAGUGCAGUAACUGUGAUAAACAAGACCACAAUCUGAUCAACAUUAUGACUGUGGUCUAGACCUCCAAAGUUUCAUCUACACAGUAAACAGAGCAACCACAAAGUCAGCAGCGGCAAUUUUUAAUUUGACUGUCCUGGAAAACUGCAAAAGAAUUAACAGAAUGGCCAAGGAAUCUGUUUGAUCUGAGUCUGAGUGCUCAGGAUGUCCUCAAAGCCCACUGACCCUGAAUGCCAUCAGAAAAAUAACUGCCAGUGCACUAAGACAACAUCACUGUAUUUUAUUUUAAUUUCCUUUGCAGAAAUAAAGACAGAAUUGGAUGCUGCUUUUUAUCAACUUUCAAACCAUCAAAACUACUCGGAAAAAGUUCAAUUAAGUGUUCAUCAGUGAUGAGCUACAAUGACAUGUAACUUCACUGGCAGAUCAUCCAGCCUACAGCAGGCAUUUAUUUUGGAAGCAGAAAAGACCAGGCCAAUCAAUAACCACUGACAGAUACAGCAGAACCUUUUAAUGGUUACUUCUGACUUACUGUACUUUCAGCUGAGUGAAAUAUUACAGAAGUGUACCUUUAUCUGAUUUCACUGAAGUCUACAAAGCAAGACAAGUCACCUUACAGCCUGAGAGAUCAAAUCUGUUGCUUACAGAAAACCUCAUCUUGAAAGUCUUUUAUCUUAAGAUUUAAGUGAAGGGAGCGUUCCUUAUAUCCUUGAUGAUUAAUAGCAAAUAAAAUCUGUUCUCACAUUAGAAAUGUAACCUUGCACAGCCUUGGAGGUUCAAAGGAGGCUACCAAGAUUCUAGCCCUAAGGGCAGAUGAGUAAUCAUCACAACAGCACUCUUUAGACAAUUCACAACUAAUGUUUUGUAAUUUCUUGAUAAAAUUAUUAGAUUCCCCUACAACUGCCAGAGUCCACAGUUUCACUAUCAUAGUCAGGAUGCUUUUAAUUAAACAAAUAAUUAAACAAAUAAUUUUGUGUAUGAACUGGGACAGGUGCUGUAGUUAUAACACUGAAAGCUGUAAUCCAGCACGUGUAGCAUUAGAAAGCUUUUUGUUAUUGUCUCAGCCAUAACUUUUCACAUUCAUGGGUAGAACCAUGCAAAAACAUUCUCACCCUCACUCCCCCACCCCCAACUUCUAAAGGAAAAUAAUAUUUUCCUGGUGUUAGGGGGGUUACAUCAACUUGACCAAAUCUAAAUGAUCAUUUGGGGUGGUCUGGGAAAUGGAAAAAAAACAACAACCCAACAAUCCAGAAAAAACCACAGAUACUACAGGACCCAACGUGAACUUAUUCCUGGCAGCUGCUUUUCACAUGCUGCGUUCAGCUGAUGACCUAACACUUCAUGUGACACACGGGGACAGAGCCCACAGCUGGGAGAGGAAAACUGCGGGUGGACUAAGAGCUCACUCCUUCCAAGUAGGAGCCAGAACUGAGGCAGAUUUACUAACAAGACACUGAGGCCAUUUCAGAACCUCCAGUCAAUCUAUUUCACAAUAAUCACUCCCUGAAAUGCACUCAUCCUCCAUCACUGUUGUAAAACCUCACAGGCCCUGGGAUUCCUUUGUAAAACAGAGUGUGAACAAUUUUAUUUAUGUAUGCUUUUAUCUUUCCUUGUCUGUUUCUUCUCAGCAGUAUAUACAAUUUCCUAAAGAUUGAACUAUCUUUAUUUACUUAGUCUGUAAUUCAUAUAUCUCUACUUCUAAGAAAAAUGCCAUGAAUAAGAAACAGGUGAAAUUUUAGAAGCCAAAAAUAUGUGAAGUGGAACUGUUUCUAACCACACAAAUAAAAAACAAAGAAUAAAAUAAUCUGAAGUGUUUCAAAAUAAUGCUUUUCAAAGGCUUACUAUUUAAAAUGAAUUCUGGUGCAAAACCUGGCAUUUGUCUCAUUUAUUACCUCGGAAAGAAAAUGUAUUACAGUGUGCUGAAUGUCUAAACAACAGAGGUGAGAAGGUCAUUCAGGACACAAGUGAGACUUGAAGCAGCUUGUGUCUGCUGUGGGUCUAUAAAAGCAGCAGUUAAGUGGCCACUGCUCCACUCUUGGUCAGACUUUACCCUUCCUGACCCCCAGCACAAACUUCAUCCGCAACAGUCCCGGAGCACAGAGCUGGCGCACACAGGGUCCCCACAGUCCGAUCUGUGACGUACUUGGCAGGCUUUUGUUUAUGACUUUAUAUUCCAUAGAGUGUGUAAAUCUAGUGAAAAAGUGUUGCAAAAUAUUAUGUAAGAGUUAUAAAUACUAAUCCUCAGCAGAUCAGCUUUGCACUUGCAUGCCCUGGAUGCAUCAUUCUUUGCCAUACAGAAAAUGUGAUGGUCGACCAUAACAUUGAGAACAAAAUUCAAAGCAGCUCUGAGAAGUUUAAACUAAAGCUUUGCAGAUAUAGGCUCCUAAGUUCAUGAGAGUAACCUAUAUGCAGCCUGCUCCUUUACCCUGUUGAAGUAAGUCAAAAAG
This is a long non-coding RNA of Passer domesticus (house sparrow), 3571 nucleotides long. RefSeq lists it as uncharacterized. The transcript is spliced from 3 exons. Lineage: Eukaryota; Metazoa; Chordata; Aves; Passeriformes; Passeridae. The record is from RefSeq and is a predicted model, not a curated record.